Molecule: ribosomal RNA, 470 nt
Filed under: uncultured bacterium
Lineage: Bacteria
Description: bacterial SSU rRNA
Rfam family: Bacterial small subunit ribosomal RNA
Source: RNAcentral
AGAGUUUGAUCAUGGCUCAGAACGAACGCUGGCGGCAGGCCUAACACAUGCAAGUCGAGCGGGACCUUCGGGUCUAGCGGCGGACGGGUGAGUAUCGCGUGGGAACGUACCCUUUUCUACGGAAUAGCCUCGGGAAACUGAGAGUAAUACCGUAUACGCCCUUUUGGGGAAAGAUUUAUCGGAGAAGGAUCGGCCCGCGUUGGAUUAGGUAGUUGGUGGGGUAAUGGCCUACCAAGCCGACGAUCCAUAGCUGGUUUGAGAGGAUGAUCAGCCACACUGGGACUGAGACACGGCCCAGACUCCUACGGGAGGCAGCAGUGGGGAAUCUUGGACAAUGGGCGCAAGCCUGAUCCAGCAAUGCCGCGUGUGUGAAGAAGGCCUUCGGGUUGUAAAGCUCUUUCAGCUGGGAAGAUAAUGACGGUACCAGCAGAAGAAGCCCCGGCUAACUCCGUGCCAGCAGCCGCGGUAAU